This 403-nucleotide ribosomal RNA is filed under the name Verrucomicrobiota bacterium. Its description in RNAcentral is "Verrucomicrobia bacterium partial 16S ribosomal RNA". It matches the Rfam family "Bacterial small subunit ribosomal RNA", at positions 355 to 776 of the family's 1533-position model. The record is from RNAcentral. Lineage: Bacteria; Pseudomonadati; Verrucomicrobiota.
UGGGGAAUAUUGCACAAUGGGGGAAACCCUGAUGCAGCGACGCCGCGUGAGCGAAGAAGGUUUUCGAAUCGUAAAGCUCUGUCCUAUGAGAAGAUAAUGACGGUAUCAUAGGAGGAAGCCCCGGCUAAAUACGUGCCAGCAGCCGCGGUAAUACGUAUGGGGCGAGCGUUGUCCGGAAUUAUUGGGCGUAAAGGGUACGUAGGCGGUCUAUUAAGUCAGGUGUGAAAGCGUGAGGCUUAACCUCAUUAAGCACUUGAAACUGAUAGACUUGAGUGAAGGAGAUGAAAGUGGAAUUCCUAGUGUAGCGAUGAAAUGCGUAGAUAUUAGGAGGAAUACCGGUGGCGAAGGCGACUUUCUGGACUUUUACUGACGCUCAGGUACGAAAGCGUGGGGAGCAAACAGG